GGUGUGGUUGUUUCUGGCCCUCUCGGGGGCUGUGCACACCCACCAUCCUCAUCUCUCCACCGUGCACCCUUGUAGACCUGGAUUGACUUUCCGAGGCAACUCGGUCGGGAAGAUUGCUGCGCUCUGUGAGCCAGCUUUCUUUGCAUGUCCAGGCCUAUGUUUUUCAUAUACCCCUAUAGAAUGUAACAGAAUGUAUCAUUGGGCCUUGUGCCUAUAAACCUUAUACAACUUUCAGCAACGGAUCUCUUGGCUCUCGCAUCGAUGAAGAACGCAGCGAAAUGCGAUAAGUAAUGUGAAUUGCAGAAUUCAGUGAAUCAUCGAAUCUUUGAACGCACCUUGCGCUCCUUGGUAUUCCGAGGAGCAUGCCUGUUUGAGUGUCAUUAAAUUCUCAACCUUAUUAACUUUUGUUGAUAAUGGAUUGGAUUGUGGGGGUUUCUUUUGCUGGCUUCUUCACAGAGAUCAGCUCCCCUUAAAUGCAUUAGCUGGUGCCCCGCGUGGACCAUCUAUUGGUGUGAUAAUUAUCUACGCCGUGGAUGUCUGCAAUCAUAUGGGUUUCGCACUGCUUCUAACCGUCUGUUCAUUCGGACAAUACAUGACAAUUUGACCUCAAAUCAGGUAGGACUACCCGCUGAACUUAAGCAUAUCAAUAAGCGGAGGAAAAGAAACUAACAAGGAUUCCCCUAGUAACUGCGAGUGAAGCGGGAAAAGCUCAAAUUUAAAAUCUGGCGGUCUCCGGCCGUCCGAGUUGUAAUCUAGAGAAGUGUUAUCCGCGCUGGACCGUGUAC
This 785-nucleotide ribosomal RNA is filed under the name uncultured Alnicola. RNAcentral describes it as "eukaryotic LSU rRNA". The stretch from base 227 to 380 matches the Rfam family "5.8S ribosomal RNA". Lineage: Eukaryota; Fungi; Basidiomycota; Agaricomycetes; Agaricales; Cortinariaceae. The record is from RNAcentral.